Molecule: ribosomal RNA, 250 nt
Filed under: uncultured bacterium
Lineage: Bacteria
Description: partial 16S ribosomal RNA
Rfam family: Bacterial small subunit ribosomal RNA
Source: RNAcentral
UACGGAGACUACGAGCGUUACUCGGAUUCACUGGGCGUAAAGGGAGCGCAGGCGGGCUGAUGUGUUAGAUGUGAAAUCCCGGGGCUUAACCUCGGAAUUGCGUCUAAAACUAUCAGUCUAGAGUCUUGGAGAGGUAAGCGGAAUUUCCAGUGUAGCGGUAAAAUGCGCAGAUAUUGGAAGGAACACCGAAGGCGAAGGCAGCUUACUGGACAGGAACUGACGCUCAUGCUCGAAAGCGUGGGGAUCGAAA